This 1414-nucleotide ribosomal RNA is filed under the name human gut metagenome. RNAcentral describes it as "bacterial SSU rRNA". It matches the Rfam family "Bacterial small subunit ribosomal RNA". The record is from RNAcentral.
AGAGUUUGAUCCUGGCUCAGGACGAACGCUGGCGGCGUGCCUAAUACAUGCAAGUCGAGCGAAUUGAUGAAGAAAGCUUGCUUUCUUCUGAUGUUAGCGGCGGACGGGUGAGUAACAUGUGGGCAACCUGCCCUUUAGUUUGGGAUAACUUCGGGAAACCGGAGCUAAUACCGAAUAAUACUUUUAAUCUCAUGAUUGAAAGUUGAAAGAUGGUUUCGGCUAUCGCUAAAGGAUGGGCCCGCGGUGCAUUAGCUAGUUGGUGAGGUAACGGCUCACCAAGGCAACGAUGCAUAGCCGACCUGAGAGGGUGAUCGGCCACACUGGGACUGAGACACGGCCCAAACUCCUACGGGAGGCUGCAGUGGGGAAUCUUCCGCAAUGGACGAAAGUCUGACGGAGCAACGCCGCGUGAGUGAUGACGGCCUUCGGGUUGUAAACCUCUUUUGUUAGGGAGCAAGGCCUUAGGGAGCAAGGCACUUUGUGUUGAGUGUACCUUUCGAAUAAGCACCGGCUAACUACGUGCCAGCAGCCGCGGUAAUACGUAGGUGGCAAGCGUUGUCCGGAUUUAUUGGGCGUAAAGCGAGCGCAGGCGGUUUCUUAAGUCUGAUGUGAAAGCCCCCGGCUCAACCGGGGAGGGUCAUUGGAAACUGGGAGACUUGAGUGCAGGAGAGGAAAGUGGAAUUCCUAGUGUAGCGGUGAAAUGCGUAGAUAUUAGGAAGAACACCAGUGGCGAAGGCGACGAUCUGGCCUGUAACUGACGCUGAGGCUCGAAAGCAUGGGUAGCGAACAGGAUUAGAUACCCUGGUAGUCCAUGCCGUAAACGAUGAAUGCUAGGUGUUGGAGGGUUUCCGCCCUUCAGUGCCGCAGCUAACGCAUUAAGCAUUCCGCCUGGGGAGUACGACCGCAAGGUUGAAACUCAAAGGAAUUGACGGGGGCCCGCACAAGCGGUGGAGCAUGUGGUUUAAUUCGAAGCAACGCGAAGAACCUUACCUGGUCUUGACAUCCACGGAAGUUUUCAGAGAUGAGAAUGUGCCUUCGGGAACCGUGAGACAGGUGCUGCAUGGCUGUCGUCAGCUCGUGUCGGGAAAUGUUGGGUUAAGUCCCGCAACGAGCGCAACCCUUAUCCUUUGUUGCCAGCGGUCCGGCCGGGAACUCAAAGGAGACUGCCAGUGAUAAACUGGAGGAAGGUGGGGAUGACGUCAAGUCAUCAUGGCCCUUACGACCAGGGCUACACACGUGCUACAAUGGCGCAUACAAAGAGAAGCGACCUCGCGAGAGCAAGCGGACCUCAUAAAGUGCGUCGUAGUCCGGAUUGGAGUCUGCAACUCGACUCCAUGAAGUCGGAAUCGCUAGUAAUCGUGGAUCAGAAUGCCACGGUGAAUACGUACCCGGGCCUUGUACUCACCGCCCGUCA